This 441-nucleotide ribosomal RNA is filed under the name uncultured bacterium. RNAcentral's name for it is "partial 16S ribosomal RNA". It matches the Rfam family "Bacterial small subunit ribosomal RNA", at positions 338 to 795 of the family's 1533-position model. The record is from RNAcentral.
UCUACGGGAGGCAGCAGUGGGGAAUAUUGCACAAUGGGGGAAACCCUGAUGCAGCGACGCCGCGUGAGUGAAGAAGUAUUUCGGUAUGUAAAGCUCUAUCAGCAGGGAAGAAGCAAGACGGUACCUGACUAAGAAGCCCCGGCUAACUACGUACCAGCAGCCGCGGUAAUCCGUAGGGGGCAAGCUUUAUCCGGAUUUACUGGGUGGAAAGGGAUCGUAGACGGUAUGGCAAGUCUGAAGUGAAAGCCCAGGGCUUAAACCUGGGACUGUGUGUGAAACUGUUAGACUAGAGUGCUGGAGAGGUAAGUGGAAUUCCUGGUGUAGCGGUGAAAUGCGUAGAUAUUAGGAGGAACACCAGUGGCGAAGGCGGCUUACUGGACAGUAACUGACGUUGAGGCUCGAAAGCGUGGGGAGCAAACAGGAUUAGAUACCCUAGUAGUC